Molecule: ribosomal RNA, 459 nt
Filed under: uncultured bacterium
Lineage: Bacteria
Description: partial 16S ribosomal RNA
Rfam family: Bacterial small subunit ribosomal RNA
Source: RNAcentral
CCUACGGGGGGCAGCAGUGAGGAAUAUUGGUCAAUGGGCGGAAGCCUGAACCAGCCAAGUAGCGUGAAGGAUGACGGCCCUAUGGAUUGUAAACCGCUUUUAUAGGGGAAUAAAACACCCCACGCGUAGGGUUUCGCGUGUACCGGAUGAAAAAGCAUCGGCUAACUCCGUGCCAGCAGCCGCGGUAAUACGGAGGAUCCGGGCGUUAUCCGGAUUUAUUGGGUUUAAAGGGAGCGUGGGCGGAAGAUCAAGUCAGCGGUAAAAUUGCGGGGCUCAACCCGGUCGAGCAGUGGAAACUGGGUUGCUUGAGUGCGCGAGAAGCAGGCGGAAUUCGUGGUGUAGCGGUGAAAUGCUUAGAUAUCACGAAGAACCCCGAUUGCGAAGGCAGCUUACUGCAGCGGAACUGACGCUGAUGCUCGAAAGUGUGGGUAUCGAACAGGAUUAGAUACCCGUGUAGUC